Molecule: ribosomal RNA, 446 nt
Filed under: uncultured bacterium
Lineage: Bacteria
Description: partial 16S ribosomal RNA
Rfam family: Bacterial small subunit ribosomal RNA
Source: RNAcentral
CCUACGGGGGGCAGCAGUCGAGAAUUUUUCACAAUGGGGGAAACCCUGAUGGUGCGACGCCGCGUGGGGGAAUGCAGGUCUUCGGAUUGUAAACCUCUGUCAUGUGGGAGCAAAUUAAAAAGAUAGUACUACAAGAGGAAGAGACGGCUAACUCUGUGCCAGCAGCCGCGGUAAUACAGAGGUCUCAAGCGUUGUUCGGAAUCACUGGGCGUAAAGCGUGCGUAGGCUGUUUCGUAAGUCGUGUGUGAAAGGCGGGGGCUCAACCCGCGGAUGGCAGAUGAUACUGCGAGACAAGAGUAAUGGAGGGGGAAGCGGAAUUCUCGGUGUAGCAGUGAAAUGCGUAGAUAUCGAGAGGAACACUCGUGGCGAAGGCGGGUUCCUGGACAUUAACUGACGCUGAGGCACGAAGGCCAGGGGAGCGAAAGGGAUUAGAUACCCCAGUAGUC